Molecule: ribosomal RNA, 279 nt
Filed under: uncultured bacterium
Lineage: Bacteria
Description: partial 16S ribosomal RNA
Rfam family: Bacterial small subunit ribosomal RNA
Source: RNAcentral
UGCCAGCAGCCGCGGUAAUACGGAGGGUGCAAGCGUUAAUCGGAAUUACUGGGCGUAAAGCGCACGUAGGCGGAUCAGAAAGUUAGGGGUGAAAUCCCGGGGCUCAACCCCGGAACUGCCUCUAAAACUCCUGGUCUUGAGUUCGAGAGAGGUGAGUGGAAUUCCGAGUGUAGAGAUGAAAUUUGUAGAUAUUCGGAGGAACACCAGUGGCGAAGGCGGCUCACUGGCUCGAUACUGACGCUGAGGUGCGAAAGUGUGGGGAGCAAACAGGAUUAGAUA